Non-coding RNA from Oryzias latipes (Japanese medaka), 8700 nucleotides. The record is from RefSeq and is a predicted model, not a curated record. Lineage: Eukaryota; Metazoa; Chordata; Actinopteri; Beloniformes; Adrianichthyidae.
AUUCAGGGACUAGCACACAUCCCCAUUAUUGGAGGGAAUGCAGGGAAAGUCAUUGGAGAAGGUAGACAAUAGAUUUAAUUAAAAAGUAAUGAAGAGGCGGAUAUUUGGGGAUGCUGUGGGAUUUGUUGGGGGGUCCUUCCUGUUAUCUGGUGCCCCCCCAGUGUGUUUCAGCUUCCAGGGGUUAUAAGAAACUUUAUUUAACUUAAUUUAAUCAUCUGGAUGAAUAAAAUAUUUUUUUAAAGUUACUAAUAUGAAAAAAAUUAACACUGAAAUGUAAUUUUUUUUGUUUAAAAUAAAUUUUAAUUUUCUCUUUCCUUUUUUUGCUUUACAGUUGUGUUUACAUAUUCCAAAAAUGACACAAUUUGCAAAAGAAAACUUCACUAUACUAGUGCGGAUUUUUUUUUUUUUUACCAGCCAUGUGUAUUAAAGUUUAAUUCCACUGAGAAAGAGGAGGGGAGGAUGCCUGAGGAAGAAGAGUUGAUUUGGGAUCAUCUAGAGGACAAGGGUUAAUAUAAUUAUCCUACUGGAACCUUGAGACUUAAAAAACAUCAUUAGUCAUAGCAACAGAAGAGCUACCUGAGCCACGGGCCACGAGAGAGGCAAGGAGAAGGAUGAAGAGAAGGUGGGGACAAGGGGAGGGAGGAAGUUUCAAAACCCAUUAGUCCACUUAGCGAGACAAUAUGUGCAAGCACUGAAACGUAAGAGCCUUGUUUAAAAAACCAUCCAAUCUGUGUUUUACAGCAUUCUCAAUGCCUGCCCAGGAAUCAGAAUGCUUAUUUUCUAGAGAUCUUCUCAGAAAUACAUUUGUCAUAAAUACAAAACAAUGCAACCUCACAAUACUUUUCCAAAAAAAGGAACCCAACAUAAUGUUGCAGUUUUUUAAAAUAAUCUCAAGCUUGUGCAAAUUUAUAAAGUUGACAGAGCUGAUGUCUUCAUCUGAUGCAUGUUAUAUUCAAGAUUGUGGCAGAGGAAUGUACAAAUGACUUACGCCUACAGUAAAUUUCCUAUCAAGACGGAUCAUUAGAUCCAUCAACUGUAAUCUUUACUGUCAUAAAUCUAUUAGACUAUCAUUUUCUUUUAUUUAACUUUUAUUUGUUUAGUUUUGGAAGCUUAUUACUGCAAUGCUACCUUUCAAAAACAGGAUUUCCCUAGAGUACAUUUUCAUGUUUUUAGACUAUUUUAUAUCAGAUCAAUGCUACAUUAGUGUAUUUUUUGCAAAGUUUCUUGCUAAUUUUUUUUAACCUUGUUAUGCUCCUGAUUUAAGUAAAUGUGGCAUCUUUCAUCAUUGAAUGAAUUGAAAAAGCUUCAAUUUACUCAGUAAAAAAGUAAUAUGAUUUUCUUUUUGUAUUCUUGAUUUCUCUGUUCUUGGAAAUGUUUUUUUAUUACCAGGUGGCAUUCCAGUUUUCGUACUCCAAAAAAAAAAAAAAGACUUACCCAGCUGCAUGUAUUACAAAUUGUCAAAUGCUCCAAACUUAUUUUAGACCUGCAAGCAUCUUAAAGAAUGCAGCAGCACCAAAGUUCAUUGUUUAUUUACCACACUUUGAAAUAAGACUUUUGAAGAAAACUUCUGAAUUUCUGGAAAAAACUUUGGAACAUUUGUAAAAAUCCAAAAGUGGCUUUUUAACUUGUAAUCCUUUGUGAAUUUCUACCAAGCGCAUUUAUACUUGUACUCCGUUGAAGUUGUUGUGCACUGUUUCUCACACUUUCAGCAAGCAAAAGUAAGCUGAUCACACUAACAAAUGAUUUUGUGAAGUUGGUCACAUCAGAAAUAAAAUAUUAAAUUCUUUUCAUUGUUUUUUUUUUCCAAUGGAAACUACAAUAUAUACAUGUAACACUUUUUCCUAAAAAUGGCAGACUUGAAACCAGCUAAUGGCUACUGUUCACACCAGACACGUUGCGUCCUAAGCUUCAAUGUUAAGUUAAUGUACAGACGCGAUCUGUGGAUCCUGCAAGACCCUGAGCGGCAUGGUUUGCUAGCUCCAUGGACUCUUUGACAGGCUGGCAACCUGUCCAGGGUGUAACCCGCCUUCGCCCAACAUUAAGCGAGACCGUCUCCGGCAACUCAGAGUGCGGAGUGAGCAAGCAAAGGAGGAUCAUCGAGUGAGCGAACGCCACUGCUCAGGGUCCGACAGUUGGACCCUGAGCAGCGAUGCUCGCUAUGCUGGCCUGUGGGUGGUUGGCUGCCCAGCAGACAAAGAGCGGGUGCCAUUGUAGCAACCUCGAUCUCUUCAGCUCCAUGGGCUUAUAAUGUUUAUCUCAUUUUCAUCAAGGCAGUAAUCAUAAGAUCCCCAGUUUGUUUUUUUUCCCUCUUGGGCUAAUGCUCAAACUGGGCCACAGACAUAUUAAAGUAACAUUUAAAACGGCCAUAACCCAGGCGCAGCUCCCUCUGCAUGAGUAAGGCACGGGGAGAGACUCUGAAGGAUCUGCUGAACCGACACGGCAACAUGCUUGCUGGCACCUCUGUAGAUCUCUCCAAAAAGUAUAAACCUAAGAUACUGCAUCAACAUGAGAGAGACAUUUAUGUCGGUUAUGUUAAACACACAAAACAUUAACAUAAGCAUCAUCCAUGUUUUUCAUGAUGUGCCAUAAAUGAAGUUUAGAAAAACAUUGGUGGUUCUUCUGCAGCAUGUUUAGGCGUCAAGCAGUAAAUUUGUCCUGUCAAAAGCGAGGCAACAGGCGCGAAUCGCGUCCGGCGUACAUGCAGCAUAACACUGGAUUUCAUAGAAGUACAUCCCUUUUUUAUAUAUAAUGGAAGCUAAGGGGACAUAGAGAAACUCAGAAGCCAGUUUAUAGUUCAGACACUCCCUCAUUGGCCUCACUUUUAACUUCAUCUAUAAAAGCUGUGCAGUUAUGUCUGUCUUUAAAAUUGACUUUCCAUCUAUACAUUUCCUAAAGUCGGCUGUAGACCUGAUUGGAUCAUGUGGGUUGCUGAAACAUGCCUAGCUACUGUUGGGUAAAGGUAGGGCAGGAAAAAAAAACACCACACACAUUCACAGUCACACCAAUUUAGGGUCACCAAUUAAAAAAUUUUUAGUCCAGUUGGACUAUGGGAGGAAACCAGAGAAAACUCCGACAUGCUCUAGGAGGACAUAUAAACUCCAUACAGAAAGAACCAGGACCUUCUCACUUUGGGGUAAGAAUGCUAACCAAUACACCACUGUGCAACCCAAAUGUUGACUGUAGAGAUGUAGAUGCAACUUUUUAGAUGAACACCAACAAUGUGGGCAUAAUGGGAAAGAAAUUGCCAAACUGCAAGUUAUCAUCUAUUACAAGAAUAUACAUGUAUUCUUGUGAGUUUAUCAGAGAUGAACCAUUUGGCAAAUAUAACAUUAUAUAUCUGACAUCCACCGUUGAUUUGUUUAGAUGCGUUAAAAAAGAUCCAUCCCCUUCUGGCUUCUGUUGGGAAAACACUGCGGUGAAACGGAGAGUGUCUGACAUCAAAAAGUGACUGAUGACAGUUUGAGCCGGUGUGUUUCUCAUUAACCAGCACACAAGGAUUUUGCCUCUCCCUCACACUCAGACUCAAGUUGAUGAGUUGUUUAUCGGAAGCCAUCAACAUGCUUGUGAUGACAGAGACGCUCCCACAGCAAAUACGGCAGCAUGUUUUUGAUCACGCCAUCCCUUUAAUAAUGCUAUGCUAAUUAAUGUAGCUGACUGAGAAGCAGCCAUCUUUCCAAGGACAUAUUCCCUCCACCUUCCAAUUCCCAGCACACUUUUGAGCUUUAAAGCUGCUGUAUCAAGAGGGUUUCUUCUCACGAGAUUUAUUCCUUAUUUUAUUUGUGUUUUUAAAAGGGUAUUUGUGGGUGAGAGAAGAAAAAAACUGUUAAAAAAUGGGGGGAAAUGGGGGAAAAAUAUUCAUCUGUAAAACAAAAGAAUGAAAGGAAAUCAGGCAAAAUUGCUGACUUUAACUAUUCUUUCAGAGGGGAAAUAAACUCUGAUUAUCAAAUCACUUACAACCAUUGUGUCAUAAAUCAUUGCAUAUAAGAGGGACGAUGACACAUUCCUCAUUCCGUUUCCUCCGAUUUCUGCAUGCCUUUCUUUUCCGGAGAGUGCUCAUGAAUGAUUUAAAAAGCGAUCUGUUUUCUGAGCCUCAGCUGCCCCGGAGGAAGAUAACAUAGAUGGGAGGAGUCUAAGCGAGGUGGGAGAGUCCACGCAAAGUUUUCCUGUCUUUGAGCACACAUGUGGCUCGUAUGUUUCAUUCAUGCUGUGGAAAAUAAAGGCAGCAGUGCUCAUAGAAUAGAAUAGACAGAGUUUUCAAAUGCAUGAUCUGUGAACGGGAGAAUAAUAUUUACAGAGCAUCACACCUCACAUCAUUCAUCACAAAAUCACACACCCCAGCUAGUCCCCUGAAACUAGAAGUUAAUCCAUCAUCUGCCUGGAUCGCCCCUCUCUCCCGUUAUCCAGGCUUACACCUCCAAUCCACUCACCUUCCCUCUACGAAGGACAGGAAAGAAAACUUUACUGUAGUUCAAGAAUAGUCUGACAGUCUGAAAGUCACCCUAAGAAGCUAAUCAGGGAAGUAAAAGAGGCUGGAGGCUCCAAAGAGAGAGCAAAUAGGAAGCAUGUGCUCUUCAGUGGAGAGGAUGGAGUAGCCAGAGGCCGCAGAUAUUCCUUCCUAUCUGCCCUGGUAUCGUCAUUCAUGAUUCCACUACAACAAUAAGCCUUUGUAAGAGAAGGAUUAGCCUCUGAGAGCUGUUCAGGGCCUAAUUAGUCUUUCCCUCAGGAAGCAGUGGUAACCCACAAGUACAAGAUCAGGGUUACAUAAGGUCACACAUUUGCAAACUUGAUUUAGUAUGUUUGAUUUAUUUUUCGUUUUUUACAUUUUUAAUAUAGAAUCUUAGACAGAUUUUCUUGGUAGAAGCUGUUGUUUAAAAAAUAAAUCAAAUGUUAUUUUUUUAUUUUAGACGUUCUAAGCUAAAUGUUUCACUGUAAUGCUUUCUAUUAACUAUAAACACGAAGAUAAAAGUCAGAGGUCAAGAUAAAAAAAAGGUUUGAGGUAGAGGACUUGUUGCAAAGUCCUCCACCGCCACCCACCAAAAUGACCUAAUUCCAACAUAGCACAUUUCUUUGAGGUUUUUGUUAGUCUCCAUCAGGAAAUUUAAGAUGUUAAACAGGCCACAUGGGGGCGAUAUAGCAGGAUAGCAGACUUCUUAUUUUGGUAUUAGCGUGUAAGAAUUUUUGAACCUCUGAGGGAGAAACGACUUCUUUAAAUAUUUACCAUAUUUAAAAAAAAAAAAUUGUCUGUCGUCCAUUUGUAUUUUGUUCUGGCUUUAUCCUGAAGAGUCAUAGGUGUUGCUGGAGCCUAUCCCAGCAACUUCAGAGCAAAGGCAUUGGACAGUUCACCAGUUCACUGUAAGGUUUUGGUGUUUUUUGACUAGGCAGCAGUGGAUGCAGUUUAUUUUUAAGUAGUAGCAAAAGUAAGUUUAUGCCCCAGUCCGUGGGGUUAAAACAAUGACAGCUUGUUUUAGUAUUACAAAAAAAGGGAUUGAAAAAUAAAAAUUUAACAUAAAAUGGAAGAUCAGCUAAUAAACUAUGUGUUCUUGUAAACUAGUUUUUUUUUCACUUUGACUGAAAAAAGUAAAAAAAAAAAGUUCACACUGAGAUAAUAUAAACGUAACCCUUUAACGCCUUAGUAUUCACCGGCACAUGGACAUGGCACAUGCUAUUUGAAUUACUGUAGAUCUUUGACCGUUUUUGCAAGGAAGUUAAUUCCAGCCGAUUCUGCAGAAUCUGUUAAUUGUGUAAUCAAUUCACUAUCUGUAAAGUGUUGCAUAUCAGUGCAAAAGCUGCUUGAACAAAUUUUAUUAUACAUAUUUAAUUUAAUCUCACUUUUAAAAAGUAAGCCAAUUAGAAGAAAGCCAGCACAAAGUAAGAAGUUCUGUCCACAAAGCUGCUCGUUUGAAUAAUAAAUAACUUAAAAAAAAUCAAAGGAUGCAUAAACCCCCCCCAGAAAUAAUCAGUUUGAAAAAAAAAUUGACUUUUUUACAUUUGUAAAUACAACAUAAGAUGGCAUGUAAAAGGAACCACUCAUUGAUAUAUGUGACAAAAGAUUACAUGACAAACACUGCACUAUAAGAAGACUCCCUCAAAUUAUCAGAAAAAAAAGCUAUAUGAAGUAAAGAUGACUAAGAGCCAGCAUUAACACUGCACCACACUGGUUUUGGUAAUGCCUUUUUCUUCUUCCACAGAGCAGCCCAAGAUGUGAGUUAUAUUUGAGGGUAAACCUGGCAGGUCCACUCAUGCAUGGAUCUCAUGGGUCAUGCUGCUUCUGCAGAAUCAAAUGGACAGGAUGGAGGCCUCAUUGACCCACACAUUGAUGUUGCCUAUGUGGGACAGUGGCCAGGGCUGCAUGUUUCCCAGGUGGGGGCAUAAAGCAGCAUCCCACUGCCGAACUCUAUUAUCCAGUCUUCCUCAAUGGUCCACUGCUGGACAGAGCAAGCAUGCAGAGUCUGGCAUAGCCACCACCAAACGGAGAGCAUGAGCUAAGCUUGGAUCUUCCUCAUCUCUCCCUCAUCAUUAGCUACCCCACUCGACUACGAACUGCCUCAAACCGCUCAUUCCAUCACCCUCAACGCAAAGCUGCACUUGAUUCCAUGCACAGAAACUACAAAAAAACUACAGAGGCUCCUCACACGCCACAGAAGAGACAGUAGCAUCUUCGUCAAAGUGCUGGAAGCCCAUCCCGUUACGGCAGCCAACAUGCCAGCCUGUUUGACUCUGUGGAAACAAAAAUGCUGCAUUCCCAGGAAACAGGGGAGAUAAAUAGAGAAGAAAAAAAAUGCAUCCCCGUAGAGAUGAAGGGAACAAAAGCUACAGUAAGCCAGUGGAAGUACAGAAAGCUGAAGUACAGUGAGCUUCAAGAAGCCUGAAACCUGAUUUCUAUCAGUGUAACAACAUACUGUAACACUCACUCUGUAGAAGGUAGCAUCUUAUGCAGUCUAUGUCAAGAACCAGAUGAGGAAGCGGAUUUCUCAAUCAAGAACCAUUAGCUCUGCACACUGGAUGAAGCAUUAAUAAAUGUAUUUAUUGUACAGUCCUUUUUUUUAAUUUUAACUUGUGCAAGCGCUGAAUGUUUGAAUGCAAAUGCACGCCAAUUAGAAAAGACACUAGCUUAGAGCUGCCAAAUCUCAGGACAAGUAAAAGAAGAAGAGGAGGAGGAGGAGGAGAGGAAAAAAUGCUUGUCUAAAAAUAAAUGAUCUGUAAAUCAAGGAGUUGAUCUAAUGGGCAUAAUCUCCUGCAAAGGUGUAGAUGGUAACCAGAUCUUUGCAUGUUGGUGUGAAUUCUUUGAUGCUUAAAUAGUCGGGUUUACCGGUAAAGAUGGAUCCGUUUAAUUGUAACCUUUAGAUCAUUUUGGUUAGUUUGAUGCAUAGUUUUUAAGUUCUUCCAUCGAGGUCACACCUGGUAACAAACUCAGUUAGUCGGAACACCAACCUACUGACUUAAAGUCCAUGUUUUGAGCUGAUUAUUGUCAAACUAAAUUUUGUUUCUUUCCUAGUCUUGUUGCGUGCUUUUGCCGUGUUCAGUUUUUUCUGCUUUCUAUUACUUUUUUUUCAAAUGGUUUCCACGGCAACUCCAUAACAUGACAUCACAAACAUUUAGAAAGAAUAGAGCAGUCUUUUAUUGUUUUCCCAGACCAUAUCUGAAGUAAAAAGUAGAAACACUGCAUUUGGUUAGUUAAAAAAAAAGCUACUUUUGCGCAACUUUAAAAAAAAUAAAAAAUCUUGGACUCAGGGGUAUGACGCUUUACGUGCGCAAUUCUGUCAUUAUUGCCACCUGGCUUCAAACCAGAUCAAACUUUAUGUAACUGUUCUGACAUAAACUGCUGUGCUUUAAAAUGCAAGUUAGACAAACAGAACAGAAGUGCAAAUACAGCUUUUGUUUACAGUUACAUUUUACCAAGUUUUUAUUUAUUUAUUUUAUUUUAAAAAAGGUCCAUUAUGUACCCCUCUAAGGCGUCAUUCUUUCCUUCCUGACUGAAUUUUCCUCUCUAAGCUCUGAGCAAGUGCACUGUGGGGAGGACGGACUGACUGGUCAUUUGCGGCUGUGGGGAUUUAACUAGAGAGGAACUAGAUCUUUCCACAAUAAUGAUACUCGUCCCAUGUAAAAGUGCUGACUAAGACCAGACUCCUUCCUGUCCCGCCCUCCCUCUUCCUUUUUCCCUUCUUUUCUCCUGUCUCAUCAACCGUGCAGAACUCUCUGGUUCCUUGAGAUGGAGCGUCGCUGGCCAACCUUUAUAAGGAGGCCCAUUAAGGAGUCCAUCAAUAUUUCAUCAUCGCUCACUCAGAAACAUAGUUGGAGAAGUUUUCAGACCGAAGCCAUUAGGGGGCAGACGUCAAUACGUGACGGCAUAGAAACAGUCAGACAAGGAUGGACAAAACUUGUCUGUCAUGAGUCAAGUCCUAAGCAUUUAACUUUCCUCUGCGGCCUGAGUAGAAUCCUAUAAUUCAGAUUUUAUAACCUGUUUUUUUUUUUUUUUUUUAAUUAUUGUGCCUUCCUUAGCUGGGACAAGCCUGCAGGGGAGAGUGUUAAAAACUACUUCAGCAGAAAAUUGAACAAGUUUUCCUGCAGAUAAACCUUUUGUGUCCUUGGGAAAAAAAGAGAUGCUCCAACAUUUUAUCUCAGGAAGUGUGAGGUUCUCUGGAAGCCCUUUCAAAUGUAAACAACACCUCCAGACAUCUGAAAGCAAGGUCGAUUUAUGUC